RNAcentral lists this transfer RNA (85 nucleotides) under Felis catus (domestic cat). It matches the Rfam family "tRNA". Rfam says of the family: Transfer RNA (tRNA) molecules are approximately 80 nucleotides in length. Their secondary structure includes four short double-helical elements and three loops (D, anti-codon, and T loops). Lineage: Eukaryota; Metazoa; Chordata; Mammalia; Carnivora; Felidae. The record is from Rfam by way of RNAcentral.
GCCUGGGUGGCUUAGUUAGUUAAGCAUCUGACUUGGGCUCAGGUCAUGAUCUCACAGUUUGUGGGUUCAAGCCCCACAUUGGACU